AGGGUUUGAUCCUGGCUCAGAGUGAACGCUGGCGGCGUGGAUUAGGCAUGCAAGUCGAGCGAUCGUCAUUAAGUCCGAAGCCAAAGCUUCGGCAGAGGCUGAAGAUUUUUUGAUGUUAGCGGCAAACGGGUGCGUAACGCGUGGGUAACCUACCUUAAGGAGGAGCAUAGCUUCGCGAAAGCGGAGGUAAUUCUCCAUAAUAUCCCGGAUUUGAUGGUUCGGGAUUAAAGAUGGCCUCUACUUGUAAGCUGUCGCCAUAAGAGGGGCCCGCGUACUAUCAGGUUGUUGGUAGGGUAACGGCCUACCAAGCCGAAGACGGUUAGCUGGCGUAAGAGCGUGACCAGCCACAUCGGGACUGAGACACUGCCCGGACUCCUACGGGAGGCUGCAGUCGAGAAUCUUUCACAAUGGACGAAAGCCUGAUGAUGCGACGCCGCGUGGGGGAUGAAGGUUUUCGGAUCGUAAACCCAUUUUAUUGAGGAGGAACGUUAGGGGGUUAAUAGCCUGUCUAGCUUGACUGUACUCAAUGAAUAAGCCACGGCUAACUCCGUGCCAGCAGCCGCGGUAAUACGGAGGUGGCGAGCGUUACUCGGUUUGACUGGGUGUAAAGGGUCCGCAGGCGGCUAUUUAAGUGAAAGGUGAAAUCUUUCGGCUCAACCGAAAAACUGCCUUUCAAACUACUUAGCUAGAGGAUGGAAGAGGAGAGUGGAACUGCCGGUGUAAAGGUGAAAUUUGUGGAUAUCGGUAGGAACGCCCGUGGAGAAGUCGACUCUCUGGUCCAUUCCUGACGCACAGGGACGAAAGCUAGGGGAGCGAACAGGAUUAGAUACCCUGGUAGUCCUAGCUGUAAACGAUGGGCACUAGGUGUUCGGCUUAGGCUGGGUGCCGCAGUUAACGCAUUAAGUGCCCCACCUGGGGACUACGGCCGCAAGGCUAAAACUCAAAGGAAUUGACGGGGGCCCGCACAAGCGGUGGAACACGUGGUUUAAUUCGAUACGCGAGGAACCUUACCAGGGUUUGACAUGCUAGAAGUAGUAUCUCGAAAGAGAGUCCGAUCGGUAACCAGUCCGGAACUAGCACAGGUGCUGCAUGGCUGUCGUCAGCUCGUGCCGUGAGGUGUUCCCUUAAGUGGGAGAACGAGCGCAACCCUCGCCUUUAGUUGCGACCCAUAUUUUUUAAAUAUGGAGCACUCUAAAGGGACUGCCCGCGUUAAGUGGGAGGAAGGUGAGGACGACGUCAAGUCCGCAUGGCCCUUAUGUCCUGGGCGACACACGUGUUACAAUGCCUACUACAGAGGGUAGCCAAACCGUGAGGUGGAGCAAAUCUCAAAAAAGUAGGCCCUUUCGGAUUGCAGGCUGCAAUUCGCCUGCAUGAAGCCGGAAUCGCUAGUAAUGGCGCACCAGAACGGCGCCGUGAAUACGUUCCCGGGCCUUGUACACACCGCCCGUCAAGCGCUGAAAGUGGGGGGCGCCUGAAGACCCGACUUUGUCGAGUUCACGGUGAAUUUCAUGAUUGGCGCUAAGUCGUAACAAGGUA
Molecule: ribosomal RNA, 1536 nt
Filed under: metagenome
Description: bacterial SSU rRNA
Rfam family: Bacterial small subunit ribosomal RNA
Source: RNAcentral